GCGCCGCGAAACGGUGCCGGUUCCCUCGCGCAGCGAUGCCCGACGGGAUUAAAAGGGAACAUGGUGUGAAGCCAUGGCUGCCCCCGCAACUGUCAGCAGCGAGUCCUCCCCGCAAACCAUGCCACUGGCCGCAACGCGCGUCUGGGAAGGCGGGGGAGGGCGAUGACCUGCGAGCCAGGAGACCUGCCGCGACCGUGAGUCCGAU
Molecule: non-coding RNA, 205 nt
Filed under: Thiocapsa sp.
Lineage: Bacteria; Pseudomonadati; Pseudomonadota; Gammaproteobacteria; Chromatiales; Chromatiaceae
Source: RNAcentral